UACGUAGGGUGCGAGCGUUAAUCGGAAUUACUGGGCGUAAAGAGUGCGCAGGCGGUUCUAUAAGACAGAUGUGAAAUCCCCGGGCUUAACCUGGGAACUGCGUUUGUGACUGUAGGACUGGAGUGUGGCAGAGGGGGGUGGAAUUCCACGUGUAGCAGUGAAAUGCGUAGAGAUGUGGAGGAACACCGAUGGCGAAGGCAGCCCCCUGGGUUAACACUGACGCUCAUGCACGAAAGCGUGGGUAGCAAACAGG
Molecule: ribosomal RNA, 253 nt
Filed under: uncultured bacterium
Lineage: Bacteria
Description: partial 16S ribosomal RNA
Rfam family: Bacterial small subunit ribosomal RNA
Source: RNAcentral